Molecule: non-coding RNA, 1030 nt
Filed under: Microkayla sp. Coscapa
Lineage: Eukaryota; Metazoa; Chordata; Amphibia; Anura; Craugastoridae
Description: partial 12S ribosomal RNA
Rfam family: Bacterial small subunit ribosomal RNA (bases 122-970)
Source: RNAcentral
GAGAUGAGCCCUAAAAAGCCCUUAAAACACAAAGGCUUGGUCCUGGUCUUAAAAUCAAUUUUUACUUAACUUACACAUGCAAGCCUCCGCACCCCCGUGAAAACGCCCUUAAACCCCUCCAGGGGCAAGGAGCUGGAAUCAGGCACAAUAAUUUGCCCAAGACACCUAGCCAUGCCACACCCACAAGGGUCAUCAGCAGUGAUUAAUAUUAAAUAUAAACGUCAGUUUGACUUAGUCAAAGUAAAAAGAGCCGGCAAAACUGGUGCCAGCCGCCGCGGUUACACCACGAGACUCGAAUUGAUUUACAUCGGCGUAAAGCGUGAUUAAAGCCCCAAACACCUUAGGGCUAAGACUGAACUAAGCUGUGACAUGCUUGUCUACUAAAAACCCAUACACGAAAGUUACCCUAAUUCAACCAACUUGAACUCACGAUACCUGGGGCCCAAACUGGGAUUAGAUACCCCACUAUGCCCAGGCCUAAACUUUAAAUUACACCCAUCCUCGCCCGGGAAUUACGAGCAACGCUUAAAACCCAAAGGACUUGACGGUACCCCAUACCCACCUAGAGGAGCCUGUCCUAUAAUUGAUAACCCCCGCUAUACCUUACCACUUUUUGCCUUUCAGCUUGUAUACUUCCGUCUUCAGCUUACCCCGUGAGAGCGACUCAGUGAGCUCAGUGUCAACCCCAACAAUACGUCAGGUCAAAGUGCAGCUAAUAAAGUGGAAAGAGAUGGGCUACACUCUCUAAUAUAGAGAAAACGAAAGACUAUGCUGAAAUCAUAUCCAAAGGCGGAUUUAGAAGUAAAAAGAAAACAAAGAGUUCUUUUUAACCCGGCCCUGGGGUGUGUACACACCGCCCGUCACCCUCUUCGAUAAAACACAGACUAGUAUAUAACACAUUUUUUUAAAAAGAAGAGGCAAGUCGUAACAUGGUAAGUAUACCGGAAGGUGUGCUUGGAUACAAAAUAUAGCUUAAUAAAAGCAGCUUGCUUACACCAAGCUAAUGUCUGUUAAAACCUAACUAUUUUGA